AAAGAAGUAUUUCAAGUUUCAUCUCAGUACCUUUUAUAGUAUUCAAGACAUUGGUAAGGAAAAGCCUGACAGUGACCAGCACCAGACUUGAUGAUCUCUCCUUUUUCUGUGCAGAAUACACAGGCAGGUUCAACCAUUGUGUUGGGCCAUAUUCAGGACAUAUGCCCUAGCUUGAAGAUCCGUGGUGGCCACAAGUAGCAUAAUUCUGAAUGUGACAGUGUCUCCUAUGACUGUUCUGAAGGUAAAAAAACAAGUAGGUCAGUUUCAAAUGGCUGAAAAAACAUCAGCAUCUUUGAUUUACCCACUUCUUGCCAAAUCCCCCAAAGCAUCAUAUUCCUUUUUGUGGAAUCUCCCCUUUGGUGGAAACUCAUUGAUAAGGAGGUAUAUCAGCCAUAGUGAAACAGAAGAACUUUUGAACAACACCACUCCAUCGGUAAACAUUGAUAAGGUUAUGUUUGUAGAAUCAUGCAGAAAGUCUCCAGGUUCUUUCAGCUUCUGAUAAGCACUUCCUGCUUUAACGUCAGAUAACACUGAUGAUGGUUCUAGACUGUAGCUUUCUUUUAUCAUCUCCCAUGUUUCUGGUCUCUCCAAUAUCUCUCUUAGAGUUGUAGUCUGAUUUCACUUUUCACGAAGUACUUUUUACUGUCAGCUGUAUUUACACUAUGAUAACCAGGAGUCAGGCAGAUUUCAACAUCAUCAAUGAAAGUUUUCUUACAUAGUUCGCAGUACAUUUGGUAUUGGAGAUAGUCUUUGCUGAAUCCACAAAUAUUUUGUUAAAUUGAAGUUAAUCCGAUAUUUUCUGUCGAUAUAUAUGUGUAAUUGUAUCAACUGAAGGAUAUUACUUAUGGCAGCAUUGGACAAGUUGUGUCUUGUUGAUAAAGCACCUUGUGCAAGAGCGUGUUCAGAAGCUGUGAUUGGACUGCAGUAUACUUCUUCUUGUGAAGGAAUCACAUACAAAGGUGGGUCAUUAUCACUGCACAUUUUGUGUUCACAGUUUGAGUCAUUUGAUUCAUUUUCCCCUGAUAUACUCCUGUUGCUAGAACUCCCAUUUUCACUGCAUUCAUCUCCACUGUCGCCACACCUUUCAAUCUCUACUUGAUCUUCAAGUAAUUCUUGUCCACUUAUUCCAUUAUCAGUGCUCAGUUGUAGAGUAGUUUGUGUAUCAGAACUGUUUGUUGUAUGGUCAUUGGAAUCUUCGUAGACCUCAUUGAAAGAUAAAAGAAAACGUAUGUCUAUAAUAUAACAUGAUUGUGUAAGUUAUGAAUUAAGGUAGUAGAUGUGUAAUAGAGUACCUCCUUUUUGAAGAGUAUUCAAUUCCUACCAUAAACCCACAUUUACUGCAAUUCUCAGGGGGGCGUAGGUUCAAGCCCUACUGGGACCAAAUUUUUUUCCCCUUAUUUUCGAUUUUUUCUAGUAAGUUUUUACUUCUUUCAAGACUUAUGAUAGAUUUAUUGUACAAAAAUGAAAAAAAAAAAAACAUUUGCUAAGCGAUUUCUUGCUGUUCAAAGUGAAUUUACUACUUAAACAGAAGGGGUAGAGUUACACAUCUGUAAAAAUAUUGAGUUACAUGUGGUAAAAGUUCUCUAUUUUGCUUCCAUUCUUUAGAUUACAUAUUGUGGAAGAAAUUUAGGUAGGUUUUACAUCUGUCCCAAGGUAAUUUUUGAAUGAAGUAAGCAAAAUUCAAAACAGAAACAAGGAUUUGACCUUAUUUUUUCAACGUUGAAAUAAGAAUUCUGUAUCAUUAAAUCCGUUUACUUGAGGAACACUAUAUAAAAUGAUAUCCACAUUUUAAUUUUGUGUUUAAUAAUUGUUUAACAAUAGUUUGAUGAUUCUUUUAUUAAAAUUAAUGGUAAAAUGAGUUCUCUGCAAACAUUUUAUAUAGCGGCCAUCACUUUGAAAUUUUUCUCUACUUGAGCUAGAGGAGAUACCACAAGUUAUACAAAAUUUAGAAAAAACGGCAUGGUAAAAGUUGUUUAAAAAGUUGUUUGCAAUACAGUGCAAAACACGGUCAUCUUUAAGAAUAUACCAUGCAAAUGCCAUUUUGUAAACAUUGCUAUUACACCUCUACUACCUUAAAUUGUUUGGAAAUGUAUAUCAGAAUCUUCAAAUGUAUGGACACUGCAUGCUUCUAGAAACAUGCCACAUUUUUCACAAUUUCUACACAGUACUCUCUGUUAUAGAACUUAGAGCCUUCGGGUUUUGGACAAAGCUGCAUCUUAGAAAGGUCAAAGCGGAUUUUCACGCCAAAGCAGCUUUUUCUCUCUGCUGGCAUUACCUUUUUCAAAGCUGUGACCUUCAUUUCUAUAUUGGCACAGUAUUCACACAAACAGCCUUUGAAUGAAUUACUUUUUAGUUCACCAGAGCCAAAGGCUCAGGGUGAGCAAUUCUGAUCAGUUACCGUCCGGCUUCCGUUGUCCGUCGUCCGUAAACUUUUACUUUAAACGACAUUUCCUCAUAAACCGCUAGGCCAAUUUCAUCCAAACUUCACAGGAAUGUUCCUUGGGUGAAGCUCUACAAAAAUUGUUCAAAGAAUUUAAUUCCAUGCAGAACUCUGGUUGCCAUGGCAACAGAAAGGAAAAACUUUAAAAAUCUUCUUCUCAAAAACCAGAAGCCUAGAGCUUAGAUAUUUGGUGAGAAGCAUUGCCUAGUGGACCUCUACCAAGUUUGUUCAAAUCAUGACCCCGGGGUCAAAAUUGACCCCGCCCCAGGGGUCACUUGAUUUUACAUAGGAAAAUCUUAAAAAAUCUUCUUCUCAAAAACCAGAAGCCCUAGAGCUUAGAUAUUUGACAUGUAGCAUUUCCUAGAGGACCUCUACUAAAGUUGUUCAAAUCAUGACCCCGGGGUCAGGGGUCACUUGAUUUUACAUAGGAAAAUCUUCAAAAUUUUUCUAAAAAUAAACCAGAAGGCCUAGAGCUUAGAUAUUUGACAUGUAGCAUUGCCUAGUGGACCUCUACAAAAUUUGUUCAAAUCAUGACCCCCGGGGUCAAAAUUGACCCUGCCCCAGAGGUCACUUGAUUUUACAUAGGAAAAUCUUCAAAAAAUUUCUAAAAAUAAACCAAAGGCCUACAGCUUAGAUAUUUCACGUGUAGCAUUGCCUAGUGGACCUCUACAAAAUUUAUUCAAUCGUGACCCCUGGGGUCAAAAUUGACCCUGCCCCAUGGGGUCACUUGAUUUUACAUAGGAAAAUCUUCAAAAAAUCUCUAAAAAUAAACCAGAAGGCCUAGAUCUUAGAUAUUUGACAUGUAGCAUUGCCUAGUAGACUUCUACAAAAAAAUUUCAAACCAUGACCCAUGGGGUCAAAUUGACCCCACCCCAUGGGGUUACUUGAUUGUACAUAGAAAAAUCUUCAAAAUUUACUAAAAAUAAACCAGAAGGCCUAGAACUUAGAUAUUUGACAUGUAGCAUUGCCUAGUGGACCUCUACAAAAGUUGUUCAAAUCUUGACCCCCAGGGUCAAAUUGACUCAGCCCCAGGGGUUACUUGAUUGUAUAUAGGGAAAUCUUCAUAAAUUUGCUAAAAAUAAACCUAGAUCUUAGAUAUUUGAUAUGUUACAUUGCCUAGUAGACUUCUACAAACUUUGUUCCAUUCAUGACCCCCGGGGUAAACUUGGCCCCGCCCCAGGGGUUACUUGAUUGUACAUCAAAAAAUCUUCCAAAAAAUUUCUAAAAAUCAUCAGUUUGACAUUUGAAACAUGUAGCUCAUAUUACUCUGGUGAGCGAUCCAGGGUCAUCAUGACCCUCUUGUUAUUGUUAGGUGAGUUCUUGUGAUCGCUCGAUGUCCGGCGUCUGUCUGUCGUCUGUCAACAUUUAGCUUGUGUAUGUGAUAGAGGCUGUAUUAUUCAACUGAUCUUCAUGGAAUUUGGUUAGAAUGAUUACCUUGAUGAAAUCUAGGCCAAGUUCGAAAAUGGGUCAUCUGGGGUCAAAAACUAGGUCACUAGGUCAAAUCAAAGAAAAACCUUGUGUGUGUGAUAGAGGCUGUAUUUUUCAAUUGAUCUUCAUGAAUUUUGGUCAGAAUGAUUACCUUGAUGAAAUCUUGGCCAAAAUUGAAAAUCGGUCGUCUGGGGUCAAAAACUAGGUCACUAGAUCAAAUCAAAGAAAAACUUUGUGUAUGCGAUAGAGGCUGUAUUUUUCAACUGAUGCUCAUGAAAUUUUGUCAGAAUGAUUACCUUAAUAAAAUCUAGGCCAAGUUCGAAAAUGGUUCAUCUGGGUUCAAAAACUAGGUCACUAGGUAAAAUCAAAGAAAAACCUUGUGUAUGUGAUAGAGGCUGUAUUUUUCAAUUGAUCUUCAUGAAAUUUGGUCGGAAUGAUUGCCUUGAUGAAUUCUAGGUCAAGUUUGAAUAUGGGUCAUCUGAGAUCAAAAACUAGGUCACUAGGUCAAAUCAAAGAGAAACCUUGUGUAUGUGAUAGAGGCUGUAUUUUUCAAUUGGUCUUCAUGAAAUUUGGUCAGAAUGAUUGCCUUGAUGAAAUCUAGGUCAAGAUUGAAUAUGGUUCAUCUGGGAUCAAAAAGUAGGUCACCAGGUCAAAUCAAAGAAAAACCUUUAGUAUGCGAUAGAGGCUGUAUUUUUCUUUUGAUCUUCAUGAAAUUUUGUCAGAAUGAUUGCCUUGAUAAAAUCAAGGUCAGUUUCAAAUAUGGGUCAUCUUGGGUCAAAAACUAGGUCACUAGGUCAUAUCUAAGAAGAUACUUUUUUAAACUCAGGAGACCACAUUUUUAGUCCAAUCUUAAUGAAAAUUGACCAAAAUAUGUGUUUCCAUGAAAUCACUAGGUUAAACAUGUUUACACUGUUAUUGUAUAUUUCUCAGGUGAGCGACCUAGGGCCAUCUUGGCCCUCUUGUUGUACCCCCCGACAACAAAGUUGUAAGGGGGGGUAUACUGGUUUCAGGUUGUCUGUCUGUCAGUCUGUCCAUCCGUCUGUCCGUAGACACAAUCUUGUGCACUCCAUCUCUCCUCAUCCCCUUGACACAAUUUAAUGAAACUUCACACAAGUGAUCAGUAACAACAGUAGUUGUGCAUGGGGCAUGUUAGAUUCUUUCAGAAAAAAAAAUUGCAGAGUUACGGGACUUUGUUUUUUGUUACUAUACUAUAUACAUAGACACAAUCUUGUGCGCUCCAUCUCUCCUCAUCCCCUUGACACAAUUUAAUGAAACUUCACACAAGUGAUCAGUAACAACAGUAGUUGUGCAUGGGGCAUGUUAGGUUCUUUCAGAAAAAAAUUUUGCAGAGUUACGGGACAUUGUUUUUUGUUACUAUACUAUAUACAUAGACACAAUCUUGUGCGCACUAUCUCUUCUUAACCCAUUGACACAAUUUAAUGAAACUUCACACAAGUGAUCAGUAACAACAGUAGUUGUGCAUGGGGCAUGUUAGGUUCUUUCAACAACAAAAAUUGCAGAGUUAUGGGACUUUGUUUCUUGUUAACAUACUAUGUACAUACAGUCUGCAUAUGCAAUCUUGUGCGCGCCUAAUCUUCCGAACCCUUGCACAUAAUUUAAUGAAACUUCACACAAGUGAUCAGUACCAACCCUAGUUGUGCAUGUUACGUUCUUUUAGAUAAAUAUUCUGCAUAGUUAUGGGACUUUGUUUUUUGUUACUAUACUGUAUACAUACAGUCUGUAUACAUAUAGUCCACAUAAUUAUGCAAUCUUGUGUGUGUCAAAUUGCAAUGUACUGUGUCAGUGCAUGAGGUGGGUACAUUCAUCACCUUUAGUGAUAGCUCUAGUUUUUACUGACUUUGGUCGUAAGGCAACAGAUUUGCUGAAACUGAUCACAGAGUCUGGAUUUUGUAUCCUAAAGCUCAUGUAAGUACGCUGCAAGGUGUUUUCCAUUAUUCUCUUGGGUUCUAAGACUUUAGCACUGACAUGUUUCUUGUCUGGAAGACAGACAGAAAUGCCUGAUGACUUGAAGUGGUUUUCAACUUGAUGUACUGUCUUAUCAUCCAGAGCACUUUUUUAGUUUCUUUUGCUCAUCCCAAAUACCUUUUAUCUGUGAUGCUUUCACCAUAAAGCCCCAGCUUUUGGUCUCUGCACCUACUUGAAGUUAUCAUCUUAGUGAUAGCUCUUCAUCUUUUUAGUUGGUAAUUUGAUCUUUUCCAUUUUGUUUCUUGCAAAUCUGUACUAAGUCUUAGACUUUCAAAUAAUUUAAGAGGCCUCCUUUUAGAUGAUGUCAUACAUACCAUCCCUUCAUCUUCAAGAACUAUUCUUGGAAUUGCUGUUGACGUCAGACUUGACAAGACUUUGGCAAAUUUAGCUGGGGAGCCAAAAAAUUCAAAAACAUUUCAUUAUAAUGAUUAAAUUGUUCUCAUGCAGGGAAAAUUAAACCAAGCGAAUAUACACGAAAUCAUUUGAUGUUGCGCUUGUCAGAUAUUUUGGUGUCCACUUGCAAUGAAGUUAUCAAUUUUUUGGUGUCUGAUUGUAACAUCCGUAUAUGAAUAGGCAUACAUUAGAAAAAUAAUUUCAUUAAAAUGACUAAAUGCUAGUAUUUUAAGAUUACUCAAUUUGACCAGUCAACCGGUGACAAAAAUUAAAUGCAUACACAAGCAGAGUUCACAUUUUAAUUAUUUGAUGUUGCGUGUGUUAUACUUCUAAAAUUUUGGAGUCCACAAACGUAUCAAUUAUUUCGUGUCUGAAUGUAACAGCCAUACAUGAAAGUGCAGACAUUGUUGGAAAUAUUUCACUACAAUCACUGAAAUCUUCAUAUUUCGGGAUUAAUCAAUGUAACCACUCAACCGAUGACAAAAAGUAGAUACAAACACAAGAGUUCAAAGGAAAAGCUUGUUAACACUCUUGUUCAUUUGAUAUACAUGAAACUUGGUCAGAAUGUUUGUCUGCAUGAAAUAUCGAAUGAUUUUUUAUCUGGGUCAUGUGGGUUCAAAAAACUAGGUCACAGGUAAAAUCAAAGAAUAAGCUUGUUAACACCCUAGGGGCCACAUUUUUAUUCUGUCUUCAUAAAACUUGGUCAAAAUGUUUGUUAUCAUGAAGUCUUGGAUAAUAUAAAACAAGGAAAAGCUUGUAUACACUCUACAGGCCAGUUUUUUGCUCCAGUCUUCCUGAAACUUUGUCAGAAUGUUUGUUUUCAUGAAAUUUUGGACAAGUUCGAAUCUGGGUCAUGUGGGGUAAAAAACUAGGUCACUAGGUCAGAUAAAAGAAAAUGCUUGUUUACACUUGAGAGGCCACGAUUUUUGGUCCAAUCUUAAUGAAAAUUUGUCAGAAUAUUUGGUAAAACAUGUUUACAGUUAUGGUGUGUUACUCAGGUGAGCGACGUGUUCUGAAGUGAAAUUUGACCUUGAUUUUGACCUAGUGACCUACUUUCACAUUUCUCAAGCUGCAGCCUUCAAAUUUGGACCACUUGCAUAGUUUUGUGUACCGAAAUAAACUUUGACCUUAAGAUUGACCUAGUGACCUACUUUCAGAUUUCUCAAACUACAGCCUUCAAUUUUGAUGCACAUACAUAGUUUUGUGUACAAAGAACUUUGUCCUUGAAAUUGAUCUAGUGACCUACUUUCACAUUUCUCAUGCUACAGCUUUCGAAUUUGGACCACAUGUUAAUGCAUGCACAGUGUUGUGUACGGAAAUGAAAAUUUGACCUUGAGCUGGUCAAUAAGUCUUGAAAUUUGGAACCCUCAGAAAUGGCACAUUGGUGGGCACCAAGAUCACUCUGUGAUCUCUUGUUAUUUCAUUUUGUAAAGGGGGACAACAUUAUGAUAUGACAUUGUAUUGGACAGGUAGAUAGUUGGUAAAGAAGUAUAUUUCUGUGUUUGGUGAUAUGCUCCUAAACCUAAAUAAAGACAUCAUUUUAUAAUAGGAAAGUAUUGUUUGACCUGUAAUACUUUCAUUUUUAGCUCGACUAUUCGAAGAAUAGGGGAGCUAUCGUACUCGCCCCGGCGUCAGCGUGAGCAUCACACAAAUGUUAAAGUUUGCUUACCACCCCAAAUACUUUCAAAGUCCAUUGAGAUAUUGCUUUCAUAUUUUGCAUACUUGUUUACCAUCAUGACCCAAGUCUGUAAAAAGGAGGAGGCAACUCUAUCAAGCAUUUUGACUGAAUUAUGGCCCCUUUUCGACUUAGAAUAUGCUUAUUGUAAUGUUAAAGUUUUACUCAUUGCUUAUAUUAUACUAUCAAGCACUCAGAAUAGUCGAGCGGGCUGUCCACUGACAGCUCUUGUUUAAUAGCUCUUGUUUAAUACUUUCAUUUUCUUUGAACUACAUCCAAGCUUUAUUGAUGUCUUUCUUUAGAGUCCAAGUAUUGAAUCAGAGUGAAUUUUCAACUGCAUUAAUUAGUUUUAAUUAAUUAGUUAGUACUUUAGUUGAAAUAUUUCCUGUUGUUCAAGUAAGGUUUGGCAUACUUUUGUUAGAUGAUUGUGUAAAAGAAAAAUAAUAAAUAAGAACUGAAUGAAAUAAAGCAGAUAUUUAUCAUGUA
Mercenaria mercenaria is the source of this 8408-nucleotide long non-coding RNA. RefSeq lists it as uncharacterized. The transcript has 2 exons. Lineage: Eukaryota; Metazoa; Mollusca; Bivalvia; Venerida; Veneridae. The record is from RefSeq and is a predicted model, not a curated record.